CUCUCAUAUAAUACAUUAGUUCAAAGGAAUAUCAAUGUCUUAUAGACAUCAUUUUGAUUUAAGUCAUAGUUUUUAGGAUCAUAAUUACAAUAUAUAUCAAAACCUUCACAAUACAGAAAAUUCUCUUGAUCCUCUUGAUAGAUAGAGUUUCAUGGAACAAUCCCUAUCAUAAAUAUUGUUCUACAAACCCAACAAAGGUCAAAACCAGACCCUAAUAUAGUCUUAGUAAUGUCGCAAAGACACAAUAAAAAUACUAGCAUUUCUGAUUUCAAAGCAGAUGGGGUUUCUGCUACAAAACCAAUUGUACUGUAUUGUAUAGCUGUGUAUAAGUUUAAUCUGGCAGUAUUGACAUCAUUUCCUAAACAUACAGUUUUGGCAUGGGCUAUCAACCUGCAUUUCUUUAAAUUUUCCACUGGUUUUAAUAUAAAUAUUCUAGUUGAAUAAAACUUUUAUUUUCUGACAAUUAUCUUCUUUAACCGUAGAACUGCAAGUUGCCGAUUUAAUCGGCCGGCCCAACGCAUGCGUAACGGCCAAGCCGAUUAGAUCAGCUCUUGACAUUAUAGAC
Molecule: long non-coding RNA, 565 nt
Filed under: Androctonus crassicauda
Lineage: Eukaryota; Metazoa; Arthropoda; Arachnida; Scorpiones; Buthidae
Source: RNAcentral